AGAGUUUGAUCCUGGCUCAGAUUGAACGCUGGCGGCAUGCCUUACACAUGCAAGUCGAACGGCAGCACGGGGGCAACCCUGGUGGCGAGUGGCGAACGGGUGAGUAAUACAUCGGAACGUGUCCUGUAGUGGGGGAUAGCCCGGCGAAAGCCGGAUUAAUACCGCAUACGAUCUACGGAAGAAAGCGGGGGAUCGCAAGACCUCGCGCUAUAGGGGCGGCCGAUGGCAGAUUAGCUAGUUGGUGGGGUAAAGGCCUACCAAGGCGACGAUCUGUAGCUGGUCUGAGAGGACGACCAGCCACACUGGGACUGAGACACGGCCCAGACUCCUACGGGAGGCAGCAGUGGGGAAUUUUGGACAAUGGGGGAAACCCUGAUCCAGCAAUGCCGCGUGUGUGAAGAAGGCCUUCGGGUUUGUAAAGCACUUUUGUCCGGAAAGAAAACUUUCUGCCCCUAAUACGGUGGGAGGAUGACGGUACCGGAAGAAUAAGCACCGGCUAACUACGUGCCAGCAGCCGCGGUAAUACGUAAGGGUGCGAGCGUUAAUUCGGGAAAUUACUGGGCCGUAAA
RNAcentral lists this ribosomal RNA (569 nucleotides) under uncultured bacterium. Its description in RNAcentral is "bacterial SSU rRNA". It matches the Rfam family "Bacterial small subunit ribosomal RNA", at positions 8 to 564 of the family's 1533-position model. The record is from RNAcentral.